GAUGAACGCUGGCGGCGUGCCUAAUACAUGCAAGUAGAACGCUGAAGCUUGGUGCUUGCACCGAGCGGAUGAGUUGCAAACGGGUGAGUAACGCGUAGGUAACCUGCCUCUUAGCGGGGAUAACUAUUGGAAACGAUAGCUAAUACCGCAUAAAAGUUGACAUUGCAUGAUGUUGAUUUGAAAGAUGCAAUUGCAUCACUAAGAGAUGGACCUGCGUUGUAUUAGCUAGUUGGUGAAGUAACGGCUCACCAAGGCGACGAUACAUAGCCGACCUGAGAGGGUGAUCGGCCACACUGGGACUGAGACACGGCCCAGACUCCUACGGGAGGCAGCAGUAGGGAAUCUUCGGCAAUGGACGGAAGUCUGACCGAGCAACGCCGCGUGAGUGAAGAAGGUUUUCGGAUCGUAAAGCUCUGUUGUAAGAGAAGAACGAGUGUGAGAGUGGAAAGUUCACACUGUGACGGUAACUUACCAGAAAGGGACGGCUAACUACGUG
Molecule: ribosomal RNA, 496 nt
Filed under: uncultured bacterium
Lineage: Bacteria
Description: partial 16S ribosomal RNA
Rfam family: Bacterial small subunit ribosomal RNA
Source: RNAcentral